Pelobates cultripes (western spadefoot toad) is the source of this 206-nucleotide non-coding RNA. The record is from the annotation of a GenBank genome assembly. Lineage: Eukaryota; Metazoa; Chordata; Amphibia; Anura; Pelobatidae.
GGCUAUUGCUUUAAACUGAGCUUGCUCAAAUUCCGUAUUACACCGACUUCCAGAGAUCCACUUGAUCAGGACAGAGUGUUCAGAUCAAUCAUUAUUGAUGCUUCUGACUUUACUGAGAUCAAGGAUCAGAGCUGGACUGCAACUUCCCCAGCUGUGCUUGCUUUGCCAGGUGCUUCAGGAUUACAUUUUCUUGAAAUCAUUUCAUA